This is a long non-coding RNA of Mya arenaria, 2644 nucleotides long. RefSeq lists it as uncharacterized. Lineage: Eukaryota; Metazoa; Mollusca; Bivalvia; Myida; Myidae. The record is from RefSeq and is a predicted model, not a curated record. The transcript is spliced from 5 exons.
GUCAUUUCACUUUUCGAUCGUCGCCAUUUUGUAAGCGCACUGCCUAAGAGUGUCUCAUGGACUUCAGCUGGAAUAAAUGUGUAUUACUCGGGAGGAACUGUAAAUAACCAGCCAGACAGCCCGCCCGUCGAGCUGCCCACCCGGCCGAGCUGUAUUUGGUGUAUGCCAACAUGUCGACAUGAUGUAAUUUCCAGCCUGGUUGCUGUAGCCACAGGGGAAUUUUCAAGGACAAGAACCAGUGCUGGUAAAAAUGUGGUUUCAUGUGAUUUUUACAUACCGGCUCUCAGCAAGGAUUUCAGAGAAAGGAAUACCGUCUCCAAAUCAUGAUGUGCUAAUAAACUCCAGUUAGCUGCGCCUAUUUCCUCCCGGCAGUAGUCCUGCAAUCUGAAUCCAGGAGAUGCAGCUCUGAAUCCAAUAUUUCAGAAGAAUGAAGAUAAAACUGAAGCCUUCAGGAACUCAACGCCACCAUGGUAUUGAUUUACUCAGCUCUGAGUACUCAGCUGUGAUGUAACAUGCCUUCAAAUCACUAUCCGAAGAACAUUCAGACGUUCUAAAUGGACCAUUGCCCUGUUGUCAUGGAAAUCAUUAUGAGGAGGAGCACACAAACUGUCACUUGUUUUGAAUACGAGAACUGACCAUAAACUUUUCGGAUGUUCUGUUUAUUUCACCAGCCAAUUUCGAUGUAUAUUUUACUGAAUCUUUAUUAACGAUGCUCAGCUCUUACUCAUAAGCAUCUCUACGCAUUCGUAUUCCACAACUAAACAUGCUUGCAAUUACACUGUGCCAUCUAUAAUAAUAUAGCAAUGCUGCAAUGUCCACAUUUUUUUGUACUAGUUGUUGCUUUAUACUGAAACUUUUAUUGAAAAUGGUGCAUAAAGACUGAUAACACAUAAAUGUUUCAUUUAUACAUUUGUACAUGUAUGAAUGAAUCAUUUAUGUGUUAUUAGUGUUUAUGCACCAGUUCUUUCAGUGUAUAUGUUGAUAAUGUUCAUACAUAUUUCAUGUGCAUUUACACAUGUGUUUAUUGCCAACCUCAUCAAAACAUGCAUAGUUUGCUAACAUACAUAUUUCCAACACAGACAUUUACUGAAUGUAUUACUACUUUACGUUGAUUUUGAUAUGUAAAUAAAACAUUGUACUACUCGUUUGUACAAAACACUUUUCAUUUGCUAUGUUGUUUGUUUCCAUGUUCUGUCUGCAUGCAGAUGGUAUUUUCAUAAAUAUUAUCAAUUUUUAGCUAAACUAUUCGAAGAAUAUGGAGAGCUAUACUACUCACCCAAGCGUCGGCGUCAGCGUCACACCUUGGUUAAGGUUUUGCUUGCAAGCACACAUACGUUAAUAUCACAGUUACUUCUUGAAGUAUCGCAUUUAGACUUAAUACAAUGGUACUCAACCAUCCAACCUACUUAAUUAACCAAGUAAGAUAACUCUACUUUGCAUUUAAAGCAAAUUAUAGGCUUUUAUUAUUUGACUUAGAAAUUCUGGUUAAGGUUUUGCGUGCAAGCACACAUAGGUAAAUAUCUCAUUAAGUACUUGAGGUAUUGGAUAGCGACUUGAAACAAUGGUACUCAACAAUCCAACCUACUGAAUUGACCAAGUUAGAUAACUCUAGUUUGCAUUUAAUCCAAAAAUUAGGACUUUAUUAUUCGACUUAGAAAUUCUGGUUAAGGUUUUGCGUGCAAGCACACAUAGGUUAAUAUCUCAGCCGCUACUUGAGGUAUUGCAUUGAGACUUGAUACAAUGGUGCUCAACCAUCCAACCUAUAAAUUAACCAAGUAAGGUUACUUGACUUUGCAUUUAAUGCAAAUGAUAGGCCUUUAUUAUUCGACUUAGAUGUUCUGAUUAAGGUUUUGUGUGCAAGCACACAUUAUAUAAAUAUCAAAGCAUCUACUUCAUGUAUUGCAUUGAGACUCAUACAAUUGUACUCAACCAUCAAACUUCCCCAUGUACGAUAGCUCUAGUUUCAUUUAAUGCAAAUAAUUGCCCUUUAUUAUUCGACAUAGAAAUUUUGGUUAAGGUUUUGCGUGUAAGCACACAUAGGUAAAUUUCUCAGCAACUACUCGAUGUAUUGCAUUGAGACUUUAUAGAAUGGUAUUCAACCACUCAAAGUAAUUGAAUAACCAAGAUAUAUAACAGCAUUUUGCAAAUAAUUUCCCUUUAUCAUUAGACUUAAACAUUCUGGUUGAAAUUUUCCAUGUAAUCACAUUUAUGUUAAUAUCUCACCACAUGAAUUGCAUUGAAAUCUUAUCUAACAGUGAUCCAUGCAUGUUUCGCCAAAACAUUUCGAUCCUUACACUGAAAAGCGGCGGAAUAGUCGAGCCCGCUAUUUCUGUGACAGCUCUUGUUCAACAUUAACGUGAUGUUCAUUUCAUUUGUGAAACUUAUCCCUUGGGAACAAUAUCAACAUCUUUUAGCAUACAUGCCUGGAUGAGUUUUAAAAAAUGACCAUAUCAUGCAUACUUACUGCAUGAAAUAUACAAUGACAUACAUUUCAUAUCAACUUGUGUAUCGGUAUUUCCCUUUCAACUACUUCGAAAUAACAAACGUCCCAACCCUAAAAUAAUCAAAAAUCUUCUACAUACAUUAUUUUUAUCUUACACUGUAUAUUUUUAUGUUAUAUAUGUAUAUAUCACGCCUAAUAAAA